Molecule: non-coding RNA, 131 nt
Filed under: Helianthus annuus (common sunflower)
Lineage: Eukaryota; Viridiplantae; Streptophyta; Magnoliopsida; Asterales; Asteraceae
Source: RNAcentral
UCACUUACCUGGACGGGGUCAAUGGACGAUCAAGAAGGUCCAUGGCCUAGGUUGGUGACCUCCAUUGCACUCAGGAGCAACAUAUCACGAGUGUAAACAACAGCUGCUUUUGAUAUCAACAUCAAUGUGAU